Molecule: ribosomal RNA, 254 nt
Filed under: uncultured bacterium
Lineage: Bacteria
Description: partial 16S ribosomal RNA
Rfam family: Bacterial small subunit ribosomal RNA
Source: RNAcentral
UACGGAGGGUGCAAGCGUUGUUCGGAUUUACUGGGCGUAAAGGGCGCGUAGGCGGUCAGCACAAGUCAGUUGUGAAAUCUCCGGGCUUAACUCGGAAAGGUCAACUGAUACUGUGCGACUAGAGUGCGGAAGGGGCAACUGGAAUUCUCGGUGUAGCGGUGAAAUGCGUAGAUAUCGAGAGGAACACCUGCGGCGAAGGCGGGUUGCUGGGCCGACACUGACGCUGAUGCGCGAAAGCCAGGGGAGCGAACGGG